AACAUUUCGUAUACGCUGCAUCAGAGACAACUGAAGAUGAAAAACUACUGUCCCCAUAUAUAACUAAUUUGUGCUGUGCACCAACAAGAACCUGCUUUAAGUUUCCAUGCCAAUUUACAACCCCCAUACUGUACCAGCCAAGGUUAGUGGCUAUUGAAAUACCACCAGGACAGGGCUAUCGAAAGACACAUUCGGUAGUGUGUUAACGAUACAAAAAAAGACACUGUACAGUUUAAAAACAAAUCUUACACAGCCUUACAUUUCAAUUUUUUUCUUUAAAAGGAGUGAGUUGUGUACAGGGGGGUUAAAUGCUUUAUAGACAAGAAAAAACAACUGUGCUAGAACCAACUUAGUCAUCAUCAUCAUCUUCUUCAUCUUCAUCCUCUUCAUCUUCUUCCUCCUCUUCAUCCUCUUCAUCUUCCGCACCUUCUUCCUCUUCCUUCUUUUUCUUGCUUUUUUCAGCCUUGACAACUCCCUUUUUUGCUGCAUCAGGUUUUCCUUUAGCUCAGUAGGCAGCGAUGUCCCUUUCAUACUUUUCCUUCAGCUUGGCAGCCUUCUUCUCAUAAGGCGGCUUGUCAUCUGCUGCAUUGUUAUUCCACAUUUCUCCCAGUUUCUUUGCAACAUCACCAUUGGAAAGGCGAGGAUGUCCUCCUUUGAUUUUUGGGUGAUACUCAGAACAGAACAAGAGGAAGGCCGAAGGAGGCCUCUUGGGUGCAUUGGGAUCCUUGAACUUCUUUUUUGUUUCUCCUUUAGGAGGAAUAUAGGUUUUCAUUUCUCUUUCAUAACGGGCCUUGUCCGCCUUUGCCAUGCCUUCAAAUUUUCCUUUCUCUUUAGCAGACAUGGUCUUCCACCUCUCUGAGCCCUUCUUAGAAAACUCUGAGAAGUUAACGGAAGCAUCUGGGUGCAUCUUCUUGUGCUCCUCUCGGCAAGUUUGCACAAAGAAUGUAUAUGAUGACAUUUUGCCUCUCGGCUUCUUAGGGUCUCCUUUGCCCAUGUUUACUUGUUUUCCUCAGUGAGGCACAGAGUCGCCCAGUGCCCGUCCGGCUCUCACUUGCCCCGGCGCUGUCUCUAUGGAGCUCAAUGUACUGCAAUGGCUGUAAGAGCGGGAGCCAGACACC
Molecule: long non-coding RNA, 1118 nt
Filed under: Heterocephalus glaber (naked mole-rat)
Lineage: Eukaryota; Metazoa; Chordata; Mammalia; Rodentia; Bathyergidae
Description: lncRNA (ENSHGLG00100039201.1)
Source: RNAcentral